UCCUCUCUGCAUGAAUAUGGUAAAGAAAUGGCCAACCAUUGAGCCAUCAAGAAGGGGCAGAGUAAAAACACCACUUUUGGGUGAAGUGGCAGCAUGUGUUGUUUUGCUUCAAUCGGUGUGUGACAUGU
RNAcentral lists this small nucleolar RNA (128 nucleotides) under Castor canadensis (American beaver). Lineage: Eukaryota; Metazoa; Chordata; Mammalia; Rodentia; Castoridae. The record is from RNAcentral.